This 92-nucleotide small RNA is filed under the name Pedobacter psychrophilus. RNAcentral describes it as "Pedobacter sp. CCM 8644 Flavo-1 RNA". It matches the Rfam family "Flavo-1 RNA". Lineage: Bacteria; Pseudomonadati; Bacteroidota; Sphingobacteriia; Sphingobacteriales; Sphingobacteriaceae. The record is from Rfam by way of RNAcentral.
GAUAAGGCGUUAACGAUAGAAACGGCAUCCUUUUUUUUUGCCUCACAAUUUUGCAAGUUGAAAAAAAGAUAUAGUGAUUAGCGUGUUAAAAC